Long non-coding RNA from Cyprinus carpio (common carp), 390 nucleotides. RefSeq lists it as uncharacterized. The record is from RefSeq and is a predicted model, not a curated record. Lineage: Eukaryota; Metazoa; Chordata; Actinopteri; Cypriniformes; Cyprinidae.
AGCAGAUGGAAACCAGGGUAAUGACACAAACGAUGAAGACACAGCCUCCGCCCACCGAUGCUCCAAUGAUGAUUAGCAAGGGGAGGGCCUCUGCAAGGAAAACGGAAUCAGAAUCAGAAUGAGCUUUAUUGCCAGGAUAAUCUGGCAUGAGGAUCCCAUACCUUGCUCUUCAAGAGUGACCAGUGCCAUGCCUGUACCAAAGCGGUUAUAAGCAGUGCAGUUGUAUCGAAGCUGGAAAUCUUGUGCCAGAGUCUCUGAGAGGAUUAGCGAGGAGAGGACCCCUCGGUCACUGUGUACUGUCUGCACGGAAAAACGACCAGAAGAGCCAGAUGACAAGAUCAUGUCCCCAAAUGUCCAUACCUGAGGAGGAAGACAUAGCAAGGAGUAAGG